This 641-nucleotide ribosomal RNA is filed under the name uncultured eukaryote. RNAcentral describes it as "SSU rRNA". It matches the Rfam family "Eukaryotic small subunit ribosomal RNA", at positions 613 to 1258 of the family's 1831-position model. The record is from RNAcentral.
UUGCGGUUAAAAAGCUCGUAGUUGGAUUUCUGUCGAGGGCGGGCGGUCCGCACUAUGUGCGUGUAUCUUGUUCGGUCUUGGCAUCCUCUUGGGGAAUGCUUCUGUGCUUGAUUGCAUGGGGUGGAAUUCAAGACUUUUACUUUGAGGAAAUUAGAGUGUUCACGGCAAGCUACCGCUUUGAAUACAUUAGCAUGGAAUAAUAAUAUAGGGCGUAAGUUCUAUUUUGUUGGUUUCUAGGACAUACGCAAUGAUUAAUAGGGACAAUUGGGGGCAUUCGUAUUAACGCGUCAGAGGUGGAAUUCUUAGAUUGCGUUACGACGAACUACUGCGAAAGCAUUUGCCAAAGAUGUUUUCAUUGAUCAAGAACGAAAGUAUGGGGAUCGAAGACGAUUAGAUACCGUCGUAGUCUAUACCAUAAACUAUGCCAAUUAGAGAUUGGGCGUCGUUCGUUUUAUGACUCGCUCAGCACCUUAUGAGAAAUCAAAAUUUUUGGGUUCCGGGGGGAGUAUGGUCGCAAGGCUGAAACUUAAAGGAAUUGACGGAAGGGCACCACCAGGAGUGGAGCCUGCGGCUUAAUUUGACUCAACACGGGAAAACUUACCAGGUCCAGACAUAGUAAGGAUUGACAGAUUGAUAGCUCU